This 339-nucleotide unclassified non-coding RNA is filed under the name Hevea brasiliensis (rubber tree). Lineage: Eukaryota; Viridiplantae; Streptophyta; Magnoliopsida; Malpighiales; Euphorbiaceae. The record is from RNAcentral.
ACAACCAGCACCUUCAAUGCUUAUUGAUGAAAUCAAAAACAUGUUGAGGUUGUUACAUGACUUGCUUCAGCUGCUAGAUACAAGUAAACAGAACAUGAUCUAUAAUAAUAAAGGUUUUUAUCUCCUUUUACUAUUCAUUUUCACAAGUUUCUUGGAGCUUUACCGCCAAUAUGCCAAUCUGAAUGUACUACAAAAGCCACGUUUGUAACAUGUCAUGCCAUCUAAUAUCCAUAAGCAAAAUCUGAAAUGAAGUAAUAGCAAUUAAAUUCUUAGAAUAAACAUCUAAACCUUAAUCUCAAACUAGAAGGGUCAACCAUAUAAAUCAUUUUUCACAAUUAG